Molecule: ribosomal RNA, 798 nt
Filed under: Triticum aestivum (bread wheat)
Lineage: Eukaryota; Viridiplantae; Streptophyta; Magnoliopsida; Poales; Poaceae
Description: partial small subunit ribosomal RNA
Source: RNAcentral
AUGUCGAACCCCAAGGGGUCGAAGAUGCUCCAGUUCGUCAACUACCGGAUGCGCGUGACGAUCCAGGACGGCCGCCAACUCGUGGGGAAGUUCAUGGCCUUCGAUCGCCACAUGAACCUCGUCCUCGGCGACUGCGAGGAGUUCCGCAAGCUCCCGCCCUCAAAAUCUUCCAAGACCACAGGCGAGCGCGAGGAGCGGAGGACGCUCGGCCUGCUGCUUCUUCGUGGCGAGGAAGUCGUCUCCAUGACCGUCGAGGGCCCGCCCCCGCCCGACGAGUCCCGGGCCAAGGCCUCCGCUGGUGUUGCCGCGCUUUCCGGCACUGGCGUCGGUCGCGCUGCCGGCCGUGGGGUGGCCACCGGCCCGCUGCUCCAGGCGCAGCCCGGCCUCUCCGGCCCUGUUCGGGGCGUGGGCGGUCCGGCCCCCGGCAUGAUGCAGCCCCAGAUCUCGCGUCCCCCAAUGCCGAACCUCUCAGCGCCGCCGGUGGCGUACCCACAGGUCGUCCGCCCGCCACCGAUGGGUAUGCCGCCCAUGCGACCUGGUGGCCCGCCACCGAUGCAGAUGCAGUUUCAGCGCCCGCCGGGUCCCCCGCCUGCGCCAUACCCUGGGGCCCCGCCGCAGCAGUUCAUGAGGGGACCGCCACCGAUGGGGCCUCCACCAGGGAGGCCGGGGAUGCCAAGCAUGCCACCACCGCCAGGGAUGAGGCCGAUGCCACCAACGCAGUUUGGACAACCACCCAGGCAUGGAAUGCCGCCACCACCGCCUGGUCCACAGCAGCCUGGACAGAACCCCCAGCAGUAG